This 21-nucleotide non-coding RNA is filed under the name Arabidopsis thaliana (thale cress). The record is from RNAcentral. Lineage: Eukaryota; Viridiplantae; Streptophyta; Magnoliopsida; Brassicales; Brassicaceae.
UAAGUGUAAGUGUCUGCACCU